RNAcentral lists this ribosomal RNA (384 nucleotides) under uncultured soil bacterium. RNAcentral describes it as "bacterial SSU rRNA". It matches the Rfam family "Bacterial small subunit ribosomal RNA", at positions 26 to 438 of the family's 1533-position model. The record is from RNAcentral.
AGAGCGAACGCUGGCGGCAGGCCUAACACAUGCAAGUCGAACGGACUCUUCGGAGUUAGUGGCGGACGGGUGAGUAACACGUGGGAACGUGCCUUUUGGUUCGGAAUAGCUCCUGGAAACGGGUGGUAAUGCCGAAUGUGCCCUUCGGGGGAAAGAUUUAUCGCCAUUAGAGCGGCCCGCGUCUGAUUAGCUAGUUGGUGAGGUAAAGGCUCACCAAGGCGACGAUCAGUAGCUGGUCUGAGAGGAUGACCAGCCACAUUGGGACUGAGACACGGCCCAAACUCCUACGGGAGCAGCAGUGGGGAAUAUUGGACAAUGGGACGAAAGCCUGAUCCAGCCAUGCCGCGUGUGUGAAGAAGGUCUUCGGAUUGUAAAGCACUUUAA